GGAAGAGUUGCAUGUAGGAGUGGUUGGGCUUGCUACAUCCAGGGGGUUGGGGUGUGUGCGUGCAUGCCUGCCUGCUUGCCUGCGUGCCUGCGUGCGUGAGUACGUGCGCGUGUAGACGGGGUGUGUGUGUAUGUUGGGGGGGGGGGGGGAUCAAACCAAUCAUUCUCAUAUACAAGCACCAAAAUCAGGACCAGCAUGCGUGUAUAUGAUUUGCCUUGACACGAGGAGACUUUGUGCGCAUAUGUUGAUGUUUACGGAAAGGCCGGCGCGCUCACGGACAGGUACGAGUAUUACGGUCAAGACCAUUUCGACGCCGAUCUCCUUUUUGAUUGCCAUGCAUGUUCAUUUCCAGAGUGGCGGCCACGCGAGCUAUAUAGCCUGUUGCGCCACUAAACACAGGUGCGGAUAGGGACUUUGGCAGAACAUAUUCAGUCCUAAUAAAGGCCGUUUUAGAUGAGGGGGCUUGGGGGGGUGAUUCGGACUUGUUGUUCAAGUCAUGCAGGGACAACAAUGCACUUGGAUGUGGUUCGGCUUUGAUUCAGGAGGGAAAACAUGGAAAUCGUUGCACAAAGUACAAGCCGUCAAGCACACCAUGUCUCGCUUGCACUCCUCACGCAAACAACACGCCGCCUGCUGAAGCUCACACUUUUAUUUGACAUUAGCAUUACUAUUAUUUUAUUAUUAUUAUUAUUAUUAUUAUUAUUAUUAUUAUUAUUAUUAUUAUUAUUAUUAUUAUUAUUAUUAUUAUUAUUAUUAUUAUUAUUAUUAUUAAUGAAUUAUUUUUAUACUACUCUUAUUAUUUAUUAUAUUGGGAAACUGAGUAGCAGUCGAGGUAACAGCUAAAAAGUUUUUCAUUGUCUGAAGAAAAAAAACCGUUUAUAAUUACUCUUAUUAUUGCUGUUGCCGUUGUUGCGAUUUGCAGGUACCCGCGCAUGCACAGAGCGCUGUGGCAAGAGGAGAAAGAUUUGAAAUGGGCUAACGAAUGCGUCAUCGAAAUGUGUUUCUUGUGUGCAACAAUGUGCUCGCUGUGUGCACUUUGUCUGCUUUUUGAACAAAAUCCCGAUUUCGACAUUUGGCUCUAAAAGUAAAUAAGUCCCAGCUGAUGCAUCUGCGAUCUUGUUUUGUUUUAUUUAUUUGAUUUGUAUUUUUUUUGCAGCAGGACGUGGACAUUAAACAGCGGGGGGGUGAUUGUUUUCUUGCUCGCUUUAUUUUAAAUAAAUUAACGAGUGGUUUGAAAAAAAUGCGUUUGUUUGUUCUUUCCUGAGUCGCUGUAAACUUUUCAUUGUACUGUUGAGGGCAGUCUUCCACUUUUUUAUAGACUAACAGAUACAAUCACACGGUGGAAUUAAUAUAAUGGCCCGUUGUUUAUGAUUAUUGGACACUUCCUAAAUCCUGCAGCAGA
Molecule: long non-coding RNA, 1402 nt
Organism: Syngnathus typhle (broad-nosed pipefish)
Lineage: Eukaryota; Metazoa; Chordata; Actinopteri; Syngnathiformes; Syngnathidae
Exons: 2
Source: RefSeq, a predicted model, not a curated record